UGGAAUGGAAACAGAAAACCGGUUUGUUUGCUUAUUACAAUUGCUUCCUGGAAACAUGUAGCCUGGGAAAAAUAAACCUUUCUCUUUGAAUGGUGUCCUUGAAUUGCUCACCUACCGAUAGUUACAGGCACAGAAAUGGAAGACUCAUUGCUCAGCAUGAUCUUCAAAUAGUACAAAGAACCUAUUAUACACAAUAUUUGGUGCUAAGUGCUGUGUGGGCAAAGGACAGAACCAUCCUAAAAUCUUCCCUCAAGGCGUCUAGUAGGAGAGACAAAUGAAUUUCUAUCAGGAACUUGAACAUGAAGUACAAAGUAAUAAAAGUGAUAAGAGUAGAGAUAAAACAUCAGGAGAGUUCAAAGGAAGGAAAAGAUGGAAGGAUGGAACUGUACCUGGUGUUUAUCCUCACAUAUUUGCAUUAAAACCUAGUGGGAUAUACUUAUUAUUUGUUGUGCCAUGAGUUAAA
This 463-nucleotide long non-coding RNA is filed under the name Homo sapiens (human). RNAcentral describes it as "HSALNT0106743". Lineage: Eukaryota; Metazoa; Chordata; Mammalia; Primates; Hominidae. The record is from RNAcentral.